RNAcentral lists this ribosomal RNA (253 nucleotides) under uncultured prokaryote. RNAcentral's name for it is "partial 16S ribosomal RNA". It matches the Rfam family "Bacterial small subunit ribosomal RNA", at positions 524 to 776 of the family's 1533-position model. The record is from RNAcentral.
AACGUAGGAGGCGAGCGUUAUCCGGAUUUACUGGGUGUAAAGCGCGUGCAGGCGGUUGGCGAAGUUGGGUGUGAAAGCUCCUGGCUCAACUGGGAGAGGUCGCUCAAAACUGGCUGACUAGAGCAUGGUAGGGGAAGGUGGAAUUCCGGGUGUAGUGGUGAAAUGCGUAGAUAUCCGGAGGAACACCAGUGGCGAAAGCGGCCUUCUAGACCAUGACUGACGCUCAGACGCGAAAGCUAGGGGAGCAAACGGG